This 457-nucleotide ribosomal RNA is filed under the name Cryptocentrus caeruleomaculatus. RNAcentral's name for it is "partial 12S ribosomal RNA". It matches the Rfam family "Bacterial small subunit ribosomal RNA", at positions 878 to 1533 of the family's 1533-position model. Lineage: Eukaryota; Metazoa; Chordata; Actinopteri; Gobiiformes; Gobiidae. The record is from RNAcentral.
AACAACGAGCCCCAGCUUAAAACCCAAAGGACUUGGCGGUGCUUUAGACCCCCCUAGAGGAGCCUGUUCUAGAACCGAUACUCCCCGUUCAACCUCACCCCCUCUUGUCAACCCCGCCUAUAUACCGCCGUCGUCAGCUUACCCUAUGAAGGACUAAUAGUAAGCAAAAUUGGCAAAGCCCAAAACGUCAGGUCGAGGUGUAGCGUACGAGGGGGGAAGAAAUGGGCUACAUUUACUGCCUCAGUAAACACGAAUAUUGCAAUGAAAUAAGCAUUUGAAGGAGGAUUUAGCAGUAAGGGGCGAAUAGAGAGCCCCCCUGAAAAUGGCCCUUAAGCGCGCACACACCGCCCGUCACUCUCCCCAACACAACGAGAUAAAUAAAUAAUACAAACUAUGAACCCAAGGGGAGGCAAGUCGUAACAUGGUAAGUGUACCGGAAGGUGCACUUGGAAAACAC